RNAcentral lists this ribosomal RNA (398 nucleotides) under uncultured Hydrogenophaga sp. RNAcentral's name for it is "bacterial SSU rRNA". It matches the Rfam family "Bacterial small subunit ribosomal RNA", at positions 984 to 1382 of the family's 1533-position model. The record is from RNAcentral. Lineage: Bacteria; Pseudomonadati; Pseudomonadota; Betaproteobacteria; Burkholderiales; Comamonadaceae.
ACAUGUAUGGAAGUUUCCAGAGAUGGAUUCGUGCUCGAAAGAGAGCCAUAACACAGGUGCUGCAUGGCUGUCGUCAGCUCGUGUCGUGAGAUGUUGGGUUAAGUCCCGCAACGAGCGCAACCCUUGUCAUUAGUUGCUACAUUUGGUUGGGCACUCUAAUGAGACUGCCGGUGACAAACCGGAGGAAGGUGGGGAUGACGUCAAGUCCUCAUGGCCCUUAUAGGUGGGGCUACACACGUCAUACAAUGGCCGGUACAAAGGGUCGCAAACCCGCGAGGGGGAGCCAAUCCAUCAAAGCCGGUCGUAGUCCGGAUCGCAGUCUGCAACUCGACUGCGUGAAGUCGGAAUCGCUAGUAAUCGUGGAUCAGCAUGUCACGGUGAAUACGUUCCCGGGUCUU